Molecule: RNA transcript, 3407 nt
Organism: Callithrix jacchus (white-tufted-ear marmoset)
Lineage: Eukaryota; Metazoa; Chordata; Mammalia; Primates; Cebidae
Gene name: adaptin ear-binding coat-associated protein 2-like
Source: RefSeq, a predicted model, not a curated record
GAAUGUGAAAGUACAAAGUGCAGUAGACUUUGACAGUCUUAAGUGCCAAGAAUAAUACAGAAAAAGAAGACAGUUGAUGAAUGAGUUUAUAGGGUUCUAAUCUUAAGAUGGUAAAAAUGUAGAAAGACCUUGCUGGUUUUGGGGGGUUGUUCGUUUCUUAAACAAUCCGUAUCUAAGCUUAGAAGAAAAGUUUAUAGCAUUAAGCACCUUUAUCUUCAUGGAUAAGCUUCGUCUUGCUCUUGCCAAGAGAAGAGUGCUUGAGUUACAGAAGGUGUAAUUAGUUUGAAGAAUACAGCAGCCUUUUUGUAAAUUUCCCAGAUAUAAAAAUGGACUUUGAUACAUAAAUGGUUUUCUGAGAUGAUACUGCCUCUAUUUUUAUAACUAUUUCACCUGGACUAUCUAAUCAGUCCUGUGAAUAUGUCCCUAAAUGUGGUUAUUGAAAACCGAAUAGCUGCCUCAUGACACAUAUAUGUUAUUUUAGAAGGAAAAAAUAUUAAAUUUUGAAUUGAGUGCGUAGGCUCCCUAUCAAUACAGAGAGUUUCUUUUUCCAUGCUAGUCAGUGGCUUAACCUAAAUUGUAAAUGUUUAUAAAAGGUUAAUUGUCCCACAUCAAACUUAUAUUAAAUAAUUUCAUCCACUAUGGAUGAGGAGGAAAAGAAUGUGGAAGAGGUAAAAAGCUGGGUACAACUUCAUAUGCCUAUGAGUCAGUAAAGAUUGAACUAAUGUCCCAUGUUGAGCUGGUUAUUUUGAUAUAUGAUAAUAAUUAUCUUUGAGGUAGAGCAAUUCUGUUUACUCAAAAAUCACAGGAUAUAGCCAUCAUAUUUUUUGGUACAAAUAGUUUUUACUGUGGGGCAAAUAGGUUAAAAUUACACUUUAUGGUAGUUGCAUUUAGGUUUCAAAGCAAAGAAUCUGUAGAGAAAUCUAUGCAUACAUAUAUAGUUUGUCCAGGUUAAUUUUCAUUUGGGAGAAGUUUUGAAAUAUCUCUAAAGCAGUUUACUCGUCAAUUGAAAAGUCCUCCAAAAAGAGAACUAUUGGGAAAUCAUGGUGUGUGGUGGUGGAAAGGAAAUGCUCCCUCAGUUUUUCGAAGGGAAUAACUUUAAAAAACAAACAAAAAAACUUAAAUGGCUAAGUUUACUUGGUGCAGUUAAGAAUUAAACUUGUCAGGAAGGAGCCAGAAGUCUCAUGGGCUCCAGGCGUCGGGAUGACAGAGAGCGGGUAUGAGUCGGUGCUCUGUGUCAAGCCUGACGUCCACGUCUACCGCAUUCCCAACCAUGGCUACAGGGCCCCGAGUGGCAGCUGGACCAGCCAUCAUGGAGUGGCCGGCUGAGGAUCACUGCAAAGCGGCAGAUGGCCUGCAUCAAGCUGGGGGACAGGUCUCAGGGGAGCUCUUUGCUGCGGCCCCAGUGGAUCAGCUUCCUGGCACAGCUGUGGAGAGCAUGAGGGAUCCCAGCAAGUACGUCGUGACCCACAUUGAAGGUGGAGACCGGUGACGGACGUUUAUUGGAAUUGGCCUUGGGGACUGAGGUGAUGCCUUUGACUUCAAUGUUGCAUUGCAGGAUCAUUUCAAGUGGGUGAAACAGCAGUGUGAAUUUGCAAAAAAAGCCCAGAACCCAGACCAAGGCCCCAAAUUGGACCUGGGCUUCGAGGAGGGCCAGACCAUCAGGCUCAACAGCGCAAACAUGAAGAAGGAGGAAGGAGCGGCCGGGAAUCCCUGAGCCCGUCCUGCCAGCACGGGAGGGUUGUGCUUGCUUCCCCCUCCCCCAGGGGGCAAAACUUUCACCCUCAUCCCUCCCCCCAGGGAACAGUUGUCAGUCGGGGGAAUCCCUUGUCCAACCAGCAGUUGCUCCCAGUUCAGGAGGAGGUGCUUCUGAUCAGCUCCCAGCCAGACCCAACCAGGCUGGGUCCAGUUCUGACCUGAGCACAGUUUUUCCUUAUGUGAAUUCUGGGAAGGAGCUCCCUCAUCUGGGUCAAAGGAAGGAGAUCGAAGCAUGCCUCCGCUGGCCUGUGUUUGGAGCAUGAAUCUCUCCUCUCUCCUUGCCUGGCUCUGUUGACAAACUGGGCAUGUUUGGCAGUAAACUGGCAUCUUGUCACACUAUUUCCUGGGAUUCAAAUAUGCAACCAGUACACAGGAGAAGAAAAGCUCCAGGAUCCCGUCUGUCUUCCCGUCUGUCCUCUUGACAGGAGAGAGACUUUCUUCUAUCACAAUGAGGCAUAUUAAACACAAGCUCCCAGAGCAAAAGAAUGGGUUGAGUUUGCUGCCUGGAUUCAGAUCAGCCCUUCUGAGAGUCUGCAGGUGUCAUGUGAUCACUGUUCAGCUGGGGGCCUUCUUUUUUUUUUUUUGAGCCAGAGUUUCGCUCUUGUUACCCAGGCUGGAGUGCAAUGGCGCAAUCUCAGCUCACCGCAACCUCCGCCUCCUGGGUUCAGGCAAUUCCCCUGCCUCUGCCUCCUGAGUAGCUGGGAUUACAGGCACACGCCACCAUGCCCAGCUAAUUUUUUGUAUUUUUUUAGUAGAGACGGGGUUUCACCAUGUUGACCAGGAUGGUCUCCAUCUCUUGACCUCGUGAUCCACCCGCCUUGGCCUCCCAAAGUGCUGGGAUUACAGGCUUGAGCCACCGCGCCCGGCCAGCUGGGGGCCUUCUUUACCCACACUGGCUAUAGCCACUUCAGUCCAUCUGCCCUCCAGAGGAGGGUUUCCUUCCUGAUUUUUAACAGGUUUAGAGGCUAUAGCUUGAACUUACAAUCAGGAGGGAAAUUGGAAGGAUUAAGCAGCUUUUAAAAAUGUUUAAGUGUUUUGCUUUGCUAAUGUGCUGAUCCGCACUAACUCAUCUUUGCCAAAAGAACUGCUUCUUGAGUGUGCCCCAAUGUGGUCUCUGAAGGCAUUCCUCACUGUCUUCAGGCAGCAGUGCUCAUCUCUGGCCAGUUGUCUGGUUUCCAUGUAUUCUAGGCCAUUCAGGCAACACAGAGCCAAGGUGGGUGCUGGAAGCCAGAUGGAACAGUGUUGGGGCAGGAAGGUGGAAGCUGUCAGCAUGGAGCUGUGGGACCCAGCACUCCUGUCAACUGGUGGCCCUCUGUGCUCACCGAUUGACAACGCAGCUCCUGGCAAACUUGGGUUUCUCUCUGGUGGUUUCUAAAGUGCCUUAUCUGCAAACAACUUCUUUCUUUUCUCCUUCAGGAACUGUGAAUGACUAGCAGAAGGAGCUCAGUAAACUAGAAGUCCAGGGUUGCUUGGAUUACUGGCUUGUAAGAAAUCUGAAUGCACCUCUGAAAUUCCUUUUAUCAACUUACCUCUCAGUUGAAAGAUUUCUUUGUUGAAGGGUCAAGACCACGAACUGAAAAAAGUGUUGGCCUUUUUGUGGGACCAGAUUUUUAAGAUAAAAUAAAUAUUUUUACUUCUGUCAAAAAAAAAAA